AAAAAAAAACUGGAAACUGUAAAACGAUAUGAAUAAUCUGGCUCCGAAACCGAACAUAUAAAGAAUUCUCCUAUCCAAAUUACCGGAACCAAAUUCGACUCGAAUCAAAAACCGAACGAAUAUCUGCUAAUUCGAAAUAAAAUUAUAUAUCUAAAAAUAUUAGUUAUAUUUAGUUAUACU
Molecule: small RNA, 180 nt
Filed under: Arabidopsis thaliana (thale cress)
Lineage: Eukaryota; Viridiplantae; Streptophyta; Magnoliopsida; Brassicales; Brassicaceae
Description: ATSL223490
Source: RNAcentral